Molecule: ribosomal RNA, 270 nt
Filed under: uncultured Eubacterium sp.
Lineage: Bacteria; Bacillati; Bacillota; Clostridia; Eubacteriales; Eubacteriaceae
Description: partial 16S ribosomal RNA
Rfam family: Bacterial small subunit ribosomal RNA
Source: RNAcentral
AGUCGAAACUAUUAGACUAGAGUAUAGUAGGGGUAAAGGGAAUUUCCAGUGGAGCGGUGAAAUGCGUAGAUAUUGGAAAGAACACCGAUGGCGAAAGCACUUUACUGGGCUAUUACUAACACUCAGAGACGAAAGCUAGGGUAGCAAAUGGGAUUAGAUACCCCAGUAGUCCUAGCUGUAAACAAUGGAUACUAGAUGUUGAACAGAUCGACCUGUGCAGUAUUAAAGCUAACGCGUUAAGUAUCCCGCCUGGGAAGUAUGCUCGCAAGA